AGAACGAACGCUGGCGGCAUGCCUAAUACAUGCAAGUCGAACGAACUCUUCGGAGUUAGUGGCGCACGGGUGCGUAACGCGUGGGAAUCUGCCCCUUGGUUCGGAAUAACAGUUGGAAACGACUGCUAAUACCGGAUGAUGACGAAAGUCCAAAGAUUUAUCGCCAAGGGAUGAGCCCGCGUAGGAUUAGCUAGUUGGUGAGGUAAAGGCUCACCAAGGCAACGAUCCUUAGCUGGUCUGAGAGGAUGAUCAGCCACACUGGGACUGAGACACGGCCCAGACUCCGUACGGGAGGCAG
RNAcentral lists this ribosomal RNA (298 nucleotides) under uncultured soil bacterium. Its description in RNAcentral is "partial 16S ribosomal RNA". It matches the Rfam family "Bacterial small subunit ribosomal RNA", at positions 26 to 351 of the family's 1533-position model. The record is from RNAcentral.